AAGAAAGCUUGCUUUCUUUGCUGGCGACCGACGCACGGGUGAGUAACACGUAUCCAACCUACCCUUUACUCGGGGAUAGCCUUUCGAAAGAAAGAUUAAUACCCGAUAGCAUAAUGAUUCCGCAUGGUUUCAUUAUUAAAGGAUUCCGGUAAAGGAUGGGGAUGCGUUCCAUUAGGUUGUUGGUGGGGUAACGGCCCACCAAGCCUUCGAUGGAUAGGGGUUCUGAGAGGAAGGUCCCCCACAUUGGAACUGAGACACGGUCCAAACUCCUACGGGAGGCAGCAUG
This 286-nucleotide ribosomal RNA is filed under the name uncultured bacterium. RNAcentral describes it as "partial 16S ribosomal RNA". It matches the Rfam family "Bacterial small subunit ribosomal RNA", at positions 72 to 353 of the family's 1533-position model. The record is from RNAcentral.